This 460-nucleotide ribosomal RNA is filed under the name uncultured bacterium. Its description in RNAcentral is "partial 16S ribosomal RNA". It matches the Rfam family "Bacterial small subunit ribosomal RNA", at positions 338 to 795 of the family's 1533-position model. The record is from RNAcentral.
CCUACGGGUGAUUGCAGUGAGGAAUAUUGGUCAAUGGGCGCGAGCCUGAACCAGCCAAGUAGCGUGAAGGAUGACUGCCCUACGGGUUGUAAACUUCUUUUAUAAAGGAAUAAAGUGAGGCACGCGUGCCUUUUUGUAUGUAUUUUAUGAAUAAGGAUCGGCUAACUCCGUGCCCGCAGCCGCGGUAAUACGGAGGAUCCGAGCGGUAUCCGGAUUUAUUGGGUUUAAAGGGAGCGUAGAUGGGUUUUUAAGUCAGUUGUGAAAGUUUGCGGCUCAACCGUAAAAUGGCAAUUGAUACUGGCAGCCUUGAGUACAGUUGAGGUAGGCGGAAUUCGUGGUGUAGCGGUGAAAUGCUUAGAUAUCACGAAGAACUCCGAUUGCGAAGGCAGCCUACUAAACUGCCACUGACAUUGAUGCUCGAAAGUGUGGGUAUCAAACAGGAUUAGAUACCCCUGUAGUC